This 443-nucleotide ribosomal RNA is filed under the name uncultured bacterium. Its description in RNAcentral is "partial 16S ribosomal RNA". It matches the Rfam family "Bacterial small subunit ribosomal RNA", at positions 338 to 795 of the family's 1533-position model. The record is from RNAcentral.
CCUACGGGUGGCAGCAGUGGGGAAUAUUGGGCAAUGGGCGCAAGCCUGACCCAGCAACGCCGCGUGAAGGAAGAAGGCUUUCGGGUUGUAAACUUCUUUUCUCAGGGACGAAGCAAGUGACGGUACCUGAGGACUAAGCCACGGCUAACUACGUGCCAGCAGCCGCGGUAAUACGUAGGUGGCAAGCGUUAUCCGGAUUUACUGGGUGUAAAGGGCGUGUAGGCGGGGACGCAAGUCAGAUGUGAAAACCACGGGCUCAACCUGUGGCCUGCAUUUGAAACUGUGUUUCUUGAGUACUGGAGAGGCAGACGGAAUUCCUAGUGUAGCGGUGAAAUGCGUAGAUAUUAGGAGGAACACCAGUGGCGAAGGCGGUCUGCUGGACAGCAACUGACACUGAGGCUCGAAAGUGUGGGUAUCAAACAGGAUUAGAUACCCUGGUAGUC